CAGGGAUUUUUUAUUUUAAGUCCAGUCGUUAGAGGUGGAGGAGUUGGGGCGGAGCUUCUUUCUGUAUCCGUUUAGGCAGAAUGAUUGUAGUGAGUACUCCGGGCCAGUGUAUUUUGUUGGAAAGAAAGCGUUUCCAAGUCAGGAGCAGAGCCAAACUUCGGCUCGAAAAUGGGACAACCUUAGUUCAACUCCCGACUCUGCUGCCUAAUACUUGUGUGACUUUGGACAAGUCAAUUCACUUUUCUGGGCUCCAGUUUCUUCUAAUGCAAAAUGAAAGGCUUGGGGAAGAUGGUCUUUGCUGUCCCGUGUAGCUCUAAAUCCUGGAUCUUAUGUCUUGGGUUCAAAUUUUGACUCGGUCAUUUCCUGGCUGUGUCAUUUCCCAGAGUUACUUGGAGUUAAAGUAAAAGUGAGACUAGUGAAAAUAAACCUGAAGGCCGUAUACCUGCAAGUAGGUGUAGGAGAUUGGAUGCUUUAUAGCAAUUAGCUGUGAGACACUGGGCCAGUGACCCUUUCUCUGGGCUUCCGUAUACUUAUCGGUAAAAAGAGGAGGCGGAAUGAACUCCAUGACCUCAGAGGUUCCUUGCAGCUCUAAAUUUAUGGUUUCUUCCUUUUCCUUCAGGUCCUUCACCUGCGUAGUUUACUAGGCAAUGGAAGGACUGACCCUAGCCUCUGGCAUAUUUAAUCGCCCUUUCCAGGGGUUAGAAAUUGGGACUCAGCGCCCUUUCCCUUCUUUUCAAUUUCACACACAGUUAAUUUCUGGGAGGAAAAACACCGCGGAUCAAAACGAUAAACUUCUCCGUCCCCCACUUAAAAGGGCUCCGCUGUAUGCCCCUCUCCUGGCCAACCCUGCUCUCCCGGGUUUGCUCUCAGCUCUGCCUCAGCCUGUCACUCACCACCCGUGUCCCCCUCCCCGUGCAGCCCAGUUUGGCCCCGAGGCUCGGCUGGGGGAGUCCCUAGACACGGACACUUCUUGGGCAGCACUAGCCCGGAGCGCGCGCGCGUCUGGGUGGAUGGGAAGGAGGAGGGGGCCGGGGGCGGAGCGAGGGGGCGGCGUGGGCCGUCCGGGGGCUGCUCCCUCUCGGAGGCAGGGGGAGAGGAGGGGAGGGAGAUGACGCGGCCUGGGAGCCGGGGAGCCCAGGCUGCUGCCGCUGCCGCUGCCGCUGCCGCCGCCGCCUUCGCUGCCUGCUGCUGCGGCUGCUGUUCCGCGCCCCGCGCCGCUGCCUCCGAGACUCGCACUGCCAGCCGGCCGUUCGCCGCCGCCUAGAUAAUCCGGGGCCGCUCUUGGCCCUAGUCCCUUGUCUCGGCUCCAGCGCCGGCCACUCGAGAACUUCUCCUCCGCCCUCCCUCCCACCCCAGCGCCGCCCUCUCGGAGGCUCCUCGUCUCUUUCUCUCCUGGCAGACCCACCGCCCGCAGCCCCCGGCCCGGCCCACCCGCAGUUUCUCAGGUCCCCUGGGGGGGACAGGGGGUGCAAUGCGCCAGGCUGCGGGGAGCUCCGCGGCGGCGGCAGCCGCUGCCCGGGGCACCACGUAGAAACUCUCGGCGUCCGCCGCCCCCUCCGUGAUCUGGGAGCAGCUGGAGCAGCGGCAUCUGCGGCAUCUGCAGAACGCUGGGACCCUCUUCCCCACGCAUCCUCAGCCCAGGCCCGCCGGGCUCCGGAGUUCCUCUGCUCCCGCUCGGAGCUCGCUCGCCUCGCCUGCUUAGCCCAAGGCUGAGCCUCCUCCUCCUUCUCCUCCUCCUCCUCCACCACUACCACCACCUCCUCCUCCUUCUUCUCCUCCUCCUAGCCUGCCCGCCCUCCCCUCUCGGUCUCUGUUGUCUUCUUCGUCUCCGGACUAGUGUCGGGAAGUUUCCCGGGCUCUGCGGAGUCCAGAUGUGUGACCUGAUUGAGUCCCAGCCGGCGGAGAAGAUGAGCAAGAUGAAGAAGUUGCGCCGAACUUUGUCAGAGAGUUUCAGUCGCAUAGCUUUGAAGAAAGAGGACAGCAGCUUUGAUGAGAUAUGUGUCACAAAGAUGUCUACACGGAACUGCCCGGGAAUGGACUCAGUGAUCAAACCCCUGGACACAAUUCCUGAGGACAAGAAAGUCCGAGUUCAGAGGACACAAAGCACUUUCGACCCAUUCGAGAAGCCUGCCACCCAAGUAAAGAGGGUGCAUUCUGAGAACAAUGCUUGCAUUAAUUUCAAGUCUUCUUCCAGUGGGAAGGAAUCUCCCAAAGCUCGCCGGCAUUCUAGCCCCAGCUCGCCCACAAGUCCCAAAUUUGGAAAAGCCGACUCUUAUGAAAAAUUGGAGAAGUUGGGAGAAGGGUCUUAUGCCACUGUGUACAAAGGAAAAAGCAAGGUAAAUGGGAAACUAGUGGCUCUGAAGGUGAUUCGGCUCCAGGAGGAAGAAGGUACUCCCUUCACAGCAAUCCGGGAAGCCUCUCUGUUAAAAGGACUAAAGCAUGCUAAUAUUGUAUUACUUCAUGACAUCAUCCAUACCAAGGAGACAUUGACACUUGUGUUUGAAUAUGUGCACACUGAUUUAUGUCAGUACAUGGACAAACACCCUGGAGGGCUUCAUCCAGACAAUGUGAAGUUGUUUUUAUUUCAGUUGCUGCGAGGACUGUCUUACAUCCACCAGCGUUAUAUUUUGCACAGAGACCUGAAGCCACAGAAUCUUCUCAUCAGUGACACGGGGGAGUUAAAGCUGGCAGAUUUCGGUCUUGCAAGAGCAAAAUCGGUCCCUAGCCACACCUACUCCAAUGAAGUGGUUACUCUGUGGUACAGGCCUCCAGAUGUCCUCUUGGGCUCAACAGAAUACUCCACCUGCCUUGAUAUGUGGGGAGUUGGCUGUAUCUUUGUUGAAAUGAUCCAAGGGGUUGCUGCUUUUCCAGGAAUGAAAGAUAUUCAAGACCAACUUGAACGAAUAUUUCUGGUUCUUGGAACGCCAAAUGAGGAUACGUGGCCUGGAGUCUAUUCCCUGCCACAUUUUAAGCCGGAACGCUUUACCCUGUACAGCUCUAAAAACCUUAGACAAGCAUGGAAUAAGCUCAGCUAUGUGAACCAUGCAGAGGAUCUGGCCUCCAAACUACUCCAGUGUUUCCCAAAGAACAGAUUGUCUGCCCCAGCAGCCCUCAACCAUGAGUAUUUCAGUGAUCUGCCCCCCCGGCUAUGGGAGCUAACUGAUAUGUCUUCUGUUUUUACUGUCCCAAAUGUAAGAUUACAACCAGAAGCUGGAGAAAGUAUGCGGGCCUUUGGAAAAAACAAUAGUUAUGGCAAAAGUCUAUCAAAUAGCAAGCACUGAAAAUCACAUGGUCGCCAAAGGGGAUGCAGGACAAUGACUUUGCAAACUUCUGAAUAAAAUUGAACCCACAAAAUAUGUAGGAGCUGGUCACUUACAUGUGGCACAAGAAUGAAGAAUCUGUAUACUUCAAUGCCCUGAGCAAUAAUACUACCCAGGCUUUAAUUUGAGGAAAUCCAUCCUGAAUGGAUUCACAUUCCCCUCAGAUCUCUUCAUUAAGGAUUAAGUUGUCAUCAUUCUGGGGAGAAGAAAAUCUAAUGAAGAGGCCAAUACUAUGAAGGGAAUCAUGGUUCAGUUUUCUUUCUCUCUCCCUAUGGUGGAUUUUGUUCAGAAGAAAAUCGAAGCUGGCAAGACCCUAUUUUCCCUGCAAUUUAUUUAAAACCUUGCACGCAUUUGGAUACCUUGUGAUUUCAGAGAACUAUGUGAAGAUUAAGCUUUGCUUACUGAUACAUGGCAUGUAUUCUUUUCAGUCUUUUGUGUUGGAUUUUGUUUGAUUUUCCACUGCAGCGCGGCAUCGUUGUAAAGGUUUUUAUGCUUUCACCAGCAAGGUCUUAAAUACAUUAAGACAACACAUUUGGUGUUCACACUUCUCCAGUAAUGUCUGUACAUAAAAGCCACAGAGUGGCAUAAAAGAAUGUGUGUUUUCUUUGAGAAUAGUUCAACCAGUAGGAAGGCCAUUUUUAGCUAGAGCAAACCCAUAUCCUGUGACUGACUGACAAGGAUAGUCCCUGGCUUCGAUGCCAUCCGUGUUUUAUUUACUUCUUGAGCAUCUUUGCGUAUAGGUUUGAUUUUUUUUUAAAUCCAUGGAAAUAAUCACACACUUAUUUAGCACAUCAGAAUUUGGUUACUGUUCUUAAAUUACGUAGCAUGCCAGUCAUCAGAAUAAGUUGACAAUGAAACCAGGGCUGGGGGUGGGGGGCGGGAUGGGGUGGGAAGGAUCAGGGAAACAAGAUAUAUGAACAAAGACAGUAAUUAAUGAAUGAAUUGCUUACUAUUUGGCCUUUGGAGAUCAAAGUAACUUUUUGGAUUUCAUGGGUAUUGUCUACACUUGGUUUUUCCCAUACUGUCUCAUCUUUGGGGUAUUUCCUAAAGGAAAAAAGAGGUUAUAGGACUAGGGUGUAGAAAAACUGUAUUUGCUGAAUGAGCCAUUAGAGCAAUCUUUGCUGGUUAGCUUUAGAAAAAAGAGAAAAUGUAAAGCUGUCCACAGGUAAGUUUGCUCUCUCACAUUCAAAGACCUUCCAGUUCCAUUUUGUCUACAUUUCAACCUGAUUGAAUGAUGCCACUGAACACCCCUCGAACUGACCGCUGAAACAAUUAUUCCAAUGCACAUUUUAGAAAUGAUGUACUAGUGUCAUUUAGAAAGAGGGACACAGCUGCCCUUGUUUGAGGAUGAGAGGGACACCAUGGGAGAGGAGGAGAAGAUGGCAAAGUGAAAAGAGGAGGGAGCUGGAAGCAUCUGAUUUUCUUGGAUCUGGAAUGAAUGGUGUCUGAAUUCAAGGAAACCAGGAGUGCCAUGUGCCUCACUGUUGAAUUGUAAACUACACAGAGCCCAAGGAAUACUUCGUUCCUAUCCCCAGGACACAGCUUCCCAUGGAAAUAUCAGCUUAUACAUUGGCUCAAUCAUAACAUUUCCCUCUUGGUUUUCCAUUUAUUACGGCUAGGACUAGGGAAGUCUAGCCAAGUUGACCAAUACUUGAUCAUAGAGAGCGAUUUUCCCCCUUACAUUCAGAAUGCAGCAGAGCUAUGAAGCUGAAUGCUAGAACUAUCUGCACCAUAGAAUGGGAUGCGACUGCUUAAAUAUCGUAACAUAAUGGGUGAUCAGAGGUUUGAACCUUGAUUUUUAAUUGUGAGUACCUGCUAAGCCAAGUAUUCUUUGCCAUUUGCCAUUUAAGGAAGGCAAAAUAAUCACCCAAUGAGAAAAUGUUUGCCGUUUUCUUCCAAGAGAUCUGCUCCAUCCUUUUAUUAUACAUUCCUACCAAAUCUGAGGUAUUGGGAGGCAUUUUGAGCCUUUGAAGUGUUUUGUUUUAAAACGACCUGAUAUUAGGAUUUUUUUUAAAGGAAAUUACAUUCUCGGUCUCAAAUAACAUUUUCAGGGGUUUGUUCAAAAGCUUCAUGUUCAUGUUUCCAUUUGGAUGAGAGAGAUUUUCAUUUUGUUCAUUCAAGCUGAGGAUUACAAUGACAAAAUCUUACAGUUGACAGGUGGAAGAAGAAAACCCUGAAAACAUUUACUAGAACAAAGGUUCAAAUGAGAAACAGAAAGGCCAUGCCAUAGGUGUGUAUCAUUUGUUCGAAGACAACUACUUUAGGAAAGCCAGAUGGAUAUUUAUGCUACUCCAUGAAGAAAUCUACUGGUUGGACUUAGAACAAAUGGCCUCCAGAAUCCGUUGCCUUUCAGGAAGGUUUAUAGACCUUCUACUUGGCCAUCCAGGGUAUAAAGCUACAGAUUUGGUCAGCUCCCUCUUCCUUUUUCAUUAAUGUUCCCUUCUCCUUUUCUCCCCUUCUUCUUGUUUAAAUUAGCCCUGGAAACUGUUGCAUUAGCAGUUUAUUCUUCAAUUGAGGAAGCACUAGAAUGUUGGGCAAGUUUAUUUUCCUAUAAAAGAAUAACUGAAAAUCAAAGAGCAAGGCUAGUUAGAAUGCCUAAGCACUGUGAUCGUAUCAACAUUACAUCACUGCAGUGUUCUGAAUUGGAUCUUGGGAUUUCAUUUCCAUUUUUUUCUUCUUUUAAAAAAAACAUUCUGGUUAGCAAUACUUCUGCACACAUGACAGGAAAACUUUCCUUUGCGAAGGAAAGUUUGGCAAAACCUACCAGAGGAGGUGGGGAAAGGGGAGCUUUCAAUCCACUGAUAUGAGGGAUGAGAGAUAUUUCUACCUCCCAAGAGUGAGAAGAGAAGAUAAAGGGGGUCUUUUCUCCCCUGGUGUUGGUAGAGGACAUGGACCUCUUGGCAUUCUCUGUAUACACACGACUGAGAAGUAUAGUCCAUAUUCUAUGUUAUGCUUCUUUACUAACUACUCAUUUGUGAAUAUUCUUGAUUUUGUAAUCUCUGUUCCUGAAGAAGAUGUGUAGACUGUACAUACAAGGGGAGAAGACUGGCUCCCCUUCGAAAUCGAAAUGCAGAAGCCUCUUUACUGGCUUGUGGGUGAUAAUAACCUUCUGUGUCACCCCUUUACAAUUUUCACACACAUAUACCAAAAAAUAAAAUAAAACAAGCAAUGUCCCCCUGCCCCCCACCCAAGUGGCACAUCCAAGAUCUGUGUUCUUUAGCUGGAAGUGUUUUCUGUUGUUUUCCUGUUUUUUUUUUUUAAUUUUGGUUUUUGGAUGACACACUAAUGUGUACUUUGUAAAAGGAUAAAUGGGUACAGGAUGAAGGCAGCCAUGUCAUUCAGAAAAAAAAAUGUACUAUUUCUUCACAAUGACAGCCUCGUAAACAGAAUGGUAUAAUACAUGUUGCAUUAUUUGUUACAACUUGUACUUUGUCUGUAUUAUGAGAGAUGUAACAGUUUGUCAGCUGUAAUUUGUUUUCUUGUAACAUGAUAUGGAAUAAAGUGUAGCCGAAUCUCCCUA
Monodelphis domestica (gray short-tailed opossum) is the source of this 6840-nucleotide RNA transcript. It is a transcript of the gene named cyclin dependent kinase 14, with no coding region annotated. The record is from RefSeq and is a predicted model, not a curated record. Lineage: Eukaryota; Metazoa; Chordata; Mammalia; Didelphimorphia; Didelphidae.